AACCUUUACACUGCACGACAGUGCGAUAAGGGAAUCCCAAGUGCGUAGGCAUAGAGCCUACGCUUUUGUCCACCGUAGGGAGGUGGACGAAUAAGGGCUGGGCAAGACCGGUGCCAGCCGCCGCGGUAACACCGGCAGCCCGAGUGAUGGCCGAUAUUAUUGGGCCUAAAGCGUCCGUAGCUGGCCGCACAAGUCCGUCGGGAAAUCCACUCGCUUAACGAGUGGGCGUCCGGCGGAAACUGUGCGGCUUGGGACCGGAAGAUCCGAGGGGUACGUCCGGGGUAGGAGUGAAAUCCCGUAAUCCUGGACGGACCACCGAUGGCGAAAGCACCUCGGAAGGACGGAUCCGACAGUGAGGGACGAAAGCUAGGGUCUCGAACCGGAUUAGAUACCCGGGUAGUCCUAGCCGUAAACGAUGCUCGCUAGGUGGUGGCGCAGGCUACGAGCCUGCGCUGUGCCGUAGGGAAGCCGUGAAGCGAGCCGCCUGGGAAGUACGUCUGCAAGGAUGAAACUUAA
This 516-nucleotide ribosomal RNA is filed under the name uncultured archaeon. Its description in RNAcentral is "bacterial SSU rRNA". It matches the Rfam family "Archaeal small subunit ribosomal RNA", at positions 345 to 859 of the family's 1478-position model. The record is from RNAcentral.